UACGUAGGGUGCGAGCGUUAAUCGGAAUUACUGGGCGUAAAGCGUGCGCAGGCGGUUUUGUAAGCCAGAUGUGAAAUCCCCGGGCUUAACCUGGGAAUGGCAUUUGGGACUGCAAGGCUGGAGUGCGGCAGAGGAGACUGGAAUUCCUGGUGUAGCGGUGAAAUGCGUAGAUAUCAAGAGGAACACCUGCGGCGAAGGCGGGUUGCUGGGCCGACACUGACGCUGAGGCGCGAAAGCGUGGGGAGCAAACAGG
RNAcentral lists this ribosomal RNA (253 nucleotides) under uncultured bacterium. RNAcentral describes it as "partial 16S ribosomal RNA". It matches the Rfam family "Bacterial small subunit ribosomal RNA", at positions 524 to 776 of the family's 1533-position model. The record is from RNAcentral.